This is a long non-coding RNA of Brachypodium distachyon (stiff brome), 275 nucleotides long. RefSeq lists it as uncharacterized. The record is from RefSeq and is a predicted model, not a curated record. NCBI's taxonomy places the organism in Eukaryota, Viridiplantae, Streptophyta, Magnoliopsida, Poales, Poaceae. The transcript is spliced from 2 exons.
CUGUUGCGAGUCAGUUGGUGAGAAAUGGAAGCUGGCCAGGUAUCCGGAUUUCAUUCCAAGUUCAUGACUUCAGAACACACAAUUCUAAUACUCGCUCUGUUCCUAAAACCACGACGAGUAUUUUGGAACGGAGGAGCAGAAAAAUACUCUGUUGACUUAAGUGGAAUCACUAUGUAAUCUGCAGCAGUACUACCUUAGUCUGAUUAGACCUUGCAUGUAUCAGAGAACUACAUUAAUUAAAGGGUAGCAGUUAUUACGGCCUGCUGUUCAUGGAA